RNAcentral lists this ribosomal RNA (585 nucleotides) under uncultured bacterium. Its description in RNAcentral is "partial 16S ribosomal RNA". It matches the Rfam family "Bacterial small subunit ribosomal RNA", at positions 355 to 1375 of the family's 1533-position model. The record is from RNAcentral.
UGGGGAAUUUUGGACAAUGGGCGAAAGCCUGAUCCAGCAAUGCCGCGUGUGUGAAGAAGGCCUUCGGGUUGUAAAGCACUUUUGUCCGGAAAGAAAUCCUCUGGGUUAAUACCUCGGGGGGAUGACGGUACCGGAAGAAUAAGCACCGGCUAACUACGUGCCAGCAGCCGCGGUAAUACGUAGGGUGCAAGCGUUAAUCGGAAUUACUGGGCGUAAAGCGUGCGCAGGCGGUUUUGUAAGACGGAUGUGAAAUCCCCGGCGUAAUCCUGGGAACUGCAUUCGUGACUGCAAGGCUAGAGUAUGGCAGAGGGGGGUAGAAUUCCACGUGUAGCAGUGAAAUGCGUAGAGAUGUGGAGGAAUACCGAUGGCGAAGGCAGCCCCCUGGGCCAAUACUGACGCUCAUGCACGAAAGCGUGGGGAGCAAACAGGAUUAGAUACCCUGGUAGUCCACGCCCUAAACGAUGUCAACUAGUUGUUGGGGAUUCAUUUCCUUAGUAACGUAGCUAACGCGUGAAGUUGACCGCCUGGGGAGUACGGUCGCAAGAUUAAAACUCAAAGGAAUUGACGGGGUCAUAGCUGUUUCCU